Long non-coding RNA from Microcebus murinus (gray mouse lemur), 857 nucleotides. RefSeq lists it as uncharacterized. NCBI's taxonomy places the organism in Eukaryota, Metazoa, Chordata, Mammalia, Primates, Cheirogaleidae. The record is from RefSeq and is a predicted model, not a curated record.
GCCGGGAUUAACGGGCAAGGCCUACAGGGCAAGAAGCGGGGAGCGCGAGCAGCGACUGCCUGCCGACCUGAGCAGACCGUUCUCCUCAGCGACUUUGCGGGAAGGGAAGGAAAGAAACAAGAUAGCAGCUAAAAGGGAAACAGGGCUGAGGAAAAGGCCAAAUAAACUCUUCCAAUCAGGUCACAAAACCUGAAGGACAACAGCAGAGCUGCUGAAAUGUCAGAGGAAGAACGAGGCACUCAGAGCACUCAGGCAGUUCUAGCAGGAUGGACGGACAAGUGUUAAAACUUCACGUGUCCUCCCUCAAAGGUACUGAUGUCUUAUCUGUCCAAUCCAACUGCGUGCUCCUGGGACAGCUAGCAUUCACAGUGCUGCUACAAGAUGCCAGGCACUGCUGCUGGGUUGGUGGACACUACUAGAUGCCAUUACCAGCCCCAUUUUACAGUUGUGGAAACUGAGACAGAGAGACAUCGGGUGACUGGCCUAAGAACACACAACUCGUAAGUGGAAAUACUGAGACACACAUUCAGGUCUGUCAGAUUCCACAGCCUACACUUUUUAACCAUUGUGUUUAACUAUACCUUGUAGUCCUUGGACUGUAGAAGGCAUACCAUAAACAAUUGAUUUUUGAAAAAUACAUUCUUUAUAUACAUUUUAUUCAACUAACAUUUAUUUGAGCACCUACUAAAUGCCAGGCACUGCAACAUCCAGUCCUAAACUCUCCAACAGAACGUACAGUCGUACGUUAAUACAUUCGCAGACUCCCAUACUUCGUUCUCAUACUUCCCAACAACUGCAAAACCUUUUGCCAGUCCUCUCUUCGCACUGCAAUAAAAUUGAUUAUAUUGAAACAGAAA